CUUAACAACUGACACUUUUAUUCACAUUUGGAUUUGAUAGGAUACUUGAUCUCACUCGAAUAAAAUAAUCACGUUCAAAAUCAAAUAGAAACAUUUCUGUCGAACAGCUUUUAGCCAUUUCGCAAAUUGCGUCAGUAGAGAAAACAUUUCUCAGUAGGAAACAGCUAGAGCGAAAUUCAUUCAUCUGCAUAGUUUCGAGACUGCUUUAAAUAUUACAAUUUCAUAUUAAAGUUGGAUAUUUUAUUUCUUUUUCACGCGCACAAUGGCAAAGGCAAUUUUCCUGUUGGGACUGGCUGUUUUGAUGGCAUUGGCUAACGCUCAGUAUCAAGGAGGAUUUAUGGCGAGUCCUCUCUCGGAAAACUCGUUUCAAAACAACGAAGUUUGCAUCAAUUAUUUGAACACGUCGCUCGCUGAAUCUAUGGUCAAACUCAAUCGACCAGGAAACGCCAACAACGCUGGCUUCAAUGCUAUUGGAAAAGAAGUCGAAGAAAUAAUCAAUAAAAAAAUUACUAAUUUGAUGUUGAAAUGCAGAGGAACCGUUCUUAAAACUCCGCCCGAAAUCGCUAAUCACUUCAAUAUGGAUGGAAAGAGUUUCUUUGUUGAACAGCUGGCUAUUCAGAAAACUGAAAUUAAGCCCAGAUUGAGAACAGAAGUAGAUAACAUAAUACAAAUUGACAAACUGAAGGCUUCGUUGAAUCAAAUAGCCAAAGAAAAAGCGGAGCAAGAACAACUGGGUUCGCAAAAGUUAAGUCUUGUGGCAAGUAAAAAAGCCGAAAUCGAGAAACUGAAAGUGAGAUUAGAUCAGAUGAUUCAAAUACGAAAUCAUGAGUACGAGAGCGGAAACUUCUAUUACAACCGCUUCAAUCAGCGCAGCCUCGAGUUGCAGGAAGAGAGGAAAAAAUACGCCAGUCUCGUGGAAAAAUAUGACGAAAUUCUGGCCAAUGUUUGCGGGUGUACGAGAUGCAGAAACAAUCAAACACCAAACAACUGGGCGGAUAUUCUCAGCACGGGAAGAAAUGUCGAAAAAGAAACGAAUACGGAAGUCCUAUGGAAAACUACUACGGUCAACACUCCGACUAUUCAUUAGGAAACGCGUGUCCUAUAAAUUGUUGCUUUCUUCCUGCUCUCAUUUCUUACAACCCUUGCUGCUCUGAGUAAUACAAUACUAUAAGGAUUAAGUUUUUGCUUGAAAUUUUUCUUCUACGUGAAUCGAAUUGAAAUUUGAGCAUACUUGGCUGAAAUAUUCACGUUCCUAAACGAAGGAAAUGAGUCGCCAUAAUCACGGCCACUUUGCGAUCAGCGUUAGUUGAGAAGUUUCCGUUGAAAACACCUGGUGAUUAUUUUAGAUCGGUAGCCAUGGCGAACGAAAUGUUCUUGAUGAAACUGAUUUUUGUAACAACUCUAGUAGUGGUGACUCUGACGCAAGUUACGCAACCGCAGCCAGACAGAUUGCUCAGCACUCUCUCUGAAAAAUCAUUCCAAGAUCACGAGAAUUGCUUGCAACAUUUAACGACAAAAUUGUUUGGAUUUCUCAAUGAAAUUUAUCCACCAGAAAAGGCUAGUGAUAGUAAAAUCACCAGUUUUGGAAAAGAGGCCCUGGAGAUGAUAUCUAAAAAACUGAAUGCCAUGAUGUCCAAAUGCCAAAAUGGGGCUUCACUUAGAGUUACGCCAAUCGUCGUUACUCACUUGAACAAAAAUGGAAGGAAUUUCUACGUUGAGCAGCUGAUCAUUCAGAAAAUUGUGCUUAAGCCCAUCUUGGUGGUGGAACAAACCAAUGCCAAAGAAAUUCAGAUUCUCAAGAUCAGAGAGAACGAAAGGUUAGUGGAGAAGAUGCAAGUGGAAGUGGUUAAUAUGAAAAGGGACCGAAUUUUGGCAAAGCUCGACUCUGAUAUCGAAACACUCGAAUACGACAUAAAAAACGCGACUCGUGAUUACGAACGCGAGAAAUCUAGUGGUGAAUUUUACUACGACAAGUUUAACAAAGUCGAAGCGGAACUGGUGGCCGAGAAGAAAAAGUUUGAAGAUUUAAAUGCAAUUUACCUGGACAUCAUUGAGAAUGCUUGUGGCUGUCAAAGGUGUAGACUCUUCUUGGGCAAUGUGCAAAUACCGAAUUGGUUUCCUAAUUUUCAAGCCUCCAGAACUCCAAACUAGGAAAACACGUGAUCCUUACGUGAUCCUCUCGUUUCAACAGUGUGUCGUCU
This 2201-nucleotide unclassified non-coding RNA is filed under the name Daphnia pulicaria. RNAcentral's name for it is "uncharacterized LOC124349922, transcript variant X3". The record is from RNAcentral. Lineage: Eukaryota; Metazoa; Arthropoda; Branchiopoda; Diplostraca; Daphniidae.